RNAcentral lists this ribosomal RNA (2125 nucleotides) under Triticum aestivum (bread wheat). Its description in RNAcentral is "partial small subunit ribosomal RNA". Lineage: Eukaryota; Viridiplantae; Streptophyta; Magnoliopsida; Poales; Poaceae. The record is from RNAcentral.
GUAGGAUAGGGCGGAGCCGCCGGUGACCCCGGCGGUGGCGGUGGCAGCGGCAGAGGGGGGCGGCGAGAAUGGCCGCUGGGGCGAGGAGGCGGAGCCGAUGACCCCGGCGGUGGCGGCGGCAGAGGGGGUCGGCGAUGAUGGCCGAUGGGGCGAGGAGGCGGAGCCGAUGACCCUGGCGGCGGCGGCGGCGGAGGGGUCCCAGGGGCUCGAGGACCAACGUCUGAUGCAGCCGUGGUUCCUCGCCGUCAAGAGCUAGAUCGAGCGCACGGCGGUGUAGCCGUCCAGAGGAAGAGGAAGAGCACCCUGCGCCGGUUCGGCCGUGGCGUCACGGAUAGGAGGUCGCCGCCUCGUCGUGCAGCGCGCGAUGGUGGACCGAUGGGCGUCCAAGAGGCAUUUGACCUUGCCGGAUCACGCUGCUGCUGGCGUAAUCCAGUCCGGAUCUGUGGAGAGCCCGGCGCAGCACCGUCUACAGGACACAGGUCCAUAUCUCUUACAGUCUUACUCUACCUUAUUCCUUGUAAGUUCACGGCUUCCAUUGCUCUUCAGUUCUGGUUAGUAGUUGGAAACUGUAAAAGUAUCUGACGAAGCACAUGAGCUUUCCACAGUGGCCAUGUAACUAAAUUCUGAAUGUUGCUUCGUUAUGCUUAAUGGAGCAGGUGGGCAACUCUCUUUUGUCUAAGAUUUUGCAAGUCUGUGAUAUAUGUAUUAUGUAAAACAGGUUAUGACUGAUUCUGCAGUUGUUGAUUCGAUUUUUUUGCUUCCAAUGCUUUGUUAGUUUGAUAAGGGCCGGAGCUUCAAUGAUGAAUCUACUAUCCAGCACACAGCCCAACUCGACAGGCACUAGCCAUGUCAACAGGUACUCAGGGGCAUGCUCGCCUCGGCAGUCAUCAAGGUGGCAAUAGGACACUUGAAUUCUACCAUUUCAGGCGAGAUCAAGCUGCACAGGAAUAUGAGGAACGAUCCGAUCUAGAGAACAUGAAGAUGACGCUGGAGUUGGUGGACGCUGUGCUCCGCGACACAGAGAGGGAGUCUAUCAAGCAUAAGUCCAUGCUUCUGUGGCUGAAGCAACUUAAGGAUGCCGUGAACGACAUCUCUCACAUGCUUGAAGAUUUUGAAGAUGAAACCGACCUCAACUUGGUAUUUGGCAAUGUUGGCUCUUGGGCUGCCCAAUUGAUCACUGAAGCUGGUGGCGAGGUGGUCUCCAUCAGAGAUGUCACAGGGGCUGUCAAGAACUCCAAAUGGCAUUGACGUAGCCAAGCUGAUGAAGCACUCGGCAGAGAACCGCAGGAUCAAGGGCUCCGACAAAAGGCGACGCCGUCGACCCGACCUCGCUGCUCACGGAAGAGUGCGAUGUGCUCAUCCCGGCAGCUCUGGGAGGAGUCAUAAACAAGUAUUCUUCUUCUUCCUCGUCCCAGCAAAGCAAAGUACAUCAUCGAGGCAAAGUACAUCAUCGAGGCUGCUAACCACCCAACAAACCCCGAGGCCGAAGAGAUUCUGGCAAAGAAGGGCGUGCUGAUCCUACCAGACAUCCUAGCCAACUCCGGCGGAGUGAUGGUGAGCUACUUCAAGUGGGUGCAGAACCCCUCACUUCGGAGGAGUGAUGGUGAGCUACUUCAAGUGGGUGCAGAACAUCCAGGGGUUCAUGUGAGACGAGGAGAAGGUGAAUCGGGAGUUCAAGACGUACAUGACCCGCGCCUCAAACAUAGUUCUGAUUAUUUAGGCAGUGUAUGGCACCGUAUAAAAUGGACAGUAAUUAUGUAUAGUAUAUCUUCGAAAACCAGAAUUGGCUCAAUUUGGAACAAUGCCUGCUUUAUAUGAAUUUCUUGCCCACUUUGCACGCGUUGCUACAAGUGCAUUACCAUGCCUCAGCCAUAAUCAUCCUUGACAAAUAUGGCAAUCACCUUUAGUAUGGAACAGAAGAAGCAUCUAUUUUGUCAAUGAGCAAGUUUAGCAUAUGUUUGUACAUUGCUGAUCUAAUUAGUAAGCAGAACUCUGUUAUAGUAAAACUAGCUAGAGGAUCACAGCACCACACGUUGUCACAGCUUCACUUUCUGGAAUGGUAUGGUUGAUGGCACCAGCCCCUCCUCAAGAUGGAGGUCACGGGUUUGCAGGGGGCAUACUGGAG